This 41338-nucleotide long non-coding RNA is filed under the name Solanum tuberosum (potato). RNAcentral's name for it is "long non-coding RNA (STUB_LNC011077)". Lineage: Eukaryota; Viridiplantae; Streptophyta; Magnoliopsida; Solanales; Solanaceae. The record is from RNAcentral.
UAGCAUGUGAGACAAAUUAGGAAUUCUCUAAAAUUAGAGGUUUUUUGAGUAUCGCAAUCUAUAGAGAUGUAUAAAUUUCUAACCAUUGAUAUAAAGACUCCUCACAAACGUUGAAGUAAUGCAAACCUCCGGUUUUCACAACAUCGAUCUUCGUAGAGAACAAUCACAUUUGUUUACGAAGGACUUAAGUAUGAAUAGCAUAUUCAGAGGAUGCUACAUACCCAAUUUUUUGUAUUGUUCACAAGUACAGAGUGACGUGAUUUUAAUGUCCAAAUCCCUAUGAUUUCAACAAUGAAAUUAAGUUCAUUUUGAAUAACGUGGUUGAGUAUGUCUUCCUUCCGACUAUUGGAUGGACUGAUCAUUCGUCAGCCAACAUUUUUAUUUUUGAAGUCAAUAGUCAUCUAAAGUCAGUUAUAUUACGUUGCAGUGUUGAGUAUGAAAGUCGUUGUGUGAGGAGAAAAGAUCUGUUGGAGACAUUAGCUAAUGAACUGCCUCAAGGUGCGAUUAGAUAUUCUUCAAAGGUCGAUUCCAUUGAAGAAUCUGGACCAUUGAAAUUGGUACAUCUUGCAGAUGGUUCCACUAUUAGAACCAAGGUAAAUCUUUCUCUGAAAUCCUUAGCUUGGAAUCCAUAUUAUUGAAACUUCAACCAACGUGAUAAUUCAAACGUGUAUUUGACCAUUAUCUCAAUUCCUUUCGUUAGUCUAGUACGUGACUAACUUUGAUAAGCUUCAAUUAAGGCCUUAAUUGGGUGUGACGGAGUCAAUUCUGUGGUGGCAAACUGGCUUGGGCUUCAGAAACCUGUCUAUUCUGGGCGCUCUGCAAUUAGAGGCUUUGUUGAGUAUCCGGAAAAACAUGGUUAUCAGCCUAAGUUCCACGCGUAUUUUGGAGGUGGAGUUCGGUUUGGAUUUCUUCCUAGUGAUGAGAAGAGUUUGUACUGGUUUUGCACAUUCACACCAUCUGUUGUUCAUUGUAAGCCACCUCCUACAUACUGUUUCUUUUGAAGAUUUACUUUUUGAAGGAUAUUUUUGUUGGCUAGAGAGCUUACCUCUAUGAAGGGGGAGCCUUGACGUAAUUGGUAAAGUUACUGUCAUGUGACCUAGAGGUCGCGGAUUCGAGCUGUGGAAACAGCCUCUUGCAGAAAUGCAGGGUAAGACUGCGUACAAUAGACCCCUGUGGUCCAAGCCUUCCCCAAACCCUGUGCAUAGCGGGAGCUUAGUGCACCGAGCUGCCCAGAUAGCUUACAUUUCAUAAACUAGUCAUGUUUAGUUGUUCAUUUUAAUUGGGAUUUUAUGCAGUUGAUGGAAAUGCAGAACAAGAUCCAAUGAAAUUGAAGCAAUUCGUGUUGAACAAGGCUAGUAAUGUGUCUAAAGAACUCUCCACCAUUAUAGACAGAACUACGCUCGACUGUAUAUCUAUCGCUCAGCUGAAAUUGAGGUUGCCAUGGAAUGUUCUGCUUGGGAAUAUUUUGAAAAAUAACGUUUGCGUGGUAGGUGAUGCACUUCAUCCCAUGACUCCUGAUCUUGGUCAAGGUGGAUGUUCUGCUUUAGAGGACAGCGUUGUUAUUGCAAAGUGCCUCGGAGAAGCCUUGAUAAAACCGAUAACAGAACAAGAAGACGAUGAAUCUACGAAGAUUAGAAAAGGACUUGAGAAGUAUGCUAAAGAGAGGAGAUGGAGAAGUUUUACAUUUAUCAGUGCUGCUUAUUUAUCUGGUUUCAUACAAGAGAGUGAUAACAAGAUAAUCAGUUUCUUAAGACAACAUUUUUUGGCUGGAGUUACUAUAUCAGUUACACUAAGAAUAGCUAACUUCGACUGCGGAAGAUUAACUGUUUCUUAGUAGCUCAAUUGGAUCUUUUAGAAGCUAUGAAUACCCUUUAUGGACUUUGUUUAGUAUCUAUCUAGCAUACAUGUUCUGGUUUAGCUGUGUUUAAGAAUUGUAAUACCGAAACGGAUCCUUAUUUUGCAAUAAUAAAAUACAAGUUGUGAGCAACCAAUUGUGUCCUUCAUCAAAGAUAUCCAACAACAUCAGUUGUUUAGAAGUAUUGAACAAGUGUUUUCUUAUCUGAGAUCAUUUCGUGCAAUUAGAUACUACUCCCUAUGUUUCAACGACUUGAUACGAAGUUUAACAAAGUAAAUAAGACUUUUGUACCAUGGACCGCUACUUGGUUCAAUGACUUCCAAUUUCCACAAGGGAUCAUUGUUUUGUUACAUACUCUUGAGUAGAUGUAGGAGGAAAUGCAGGAGUCAAAUCAUGUCUUUAAUUGUUUUUUUUUGUUUUUUUUUGGAUUUCUCACUUGACUUGUCAGGCAAUAGUAUCUCUCAUUGGAAAUUUGUUACAAGUUCUGCAGCAAAAUUUUCUACCGUUUGUCUUACAUAAUGGGAUCAAUUCACAUUGUCUUAGGUGACACACACGGCAGAGAUAGUCGAUGACCUCGAAAUGAAAAUAACAUUUAGAUGGGGUACAAGCACCCCCAUUCUUUUGUUUGUUUUUUCUCUCUAUUAGACUACUUUACUUUGAUUUUAUAUCAAUUUAUGAAUGUCGUAAGUAUGUAUUUUUAAUUGAAAUUUGCUAGUAACUAAACCUUAAAAUUUAUAGUUAUUAGCGUGAAAGGAAUUAAAUUUAACAUUAAAAUACGACCCUCAAUUGAUGUUUCUGGUCAUAGUACUGUUAAAAAAUUACUUAUGAUUGUUACAUUUUAUUAUUCAUUAUAGGCUUAUUUUCACAGAAAUUACACAAGUGUAACUCAUAAACUAGUAUAUAUAUAUAUAUAUAUAUUACUAAAAGUGGGAAGAAUCUAAAGCAAAAAUUAGAUUGCGAAAAUACCCUUAAGUAUUAAUUUAUUUUCUUAAAAAUCUAUUUUUAAAAAUAGUCUUUUUAUUUAUUUAUUUUUAAUAUUUUAUAAAAAAUGAAUGUGUCAAUUACUACUCAUUUAUAUAUUUAUAUUCUGUAAUAUAAACAUUUAUUUGCCUUUAUUUCAAUUAUUCACAUGAAUUUUGAUUAUUAUAACUCCUAUAUUAUAUUAAUAGUCAUGUUCAUAAUAUCAUUUGAUAUUCCAUAUUAUUGUCCUAUAAAUAGAGAUAUUAUAAAGGUGCAAGUAUUACACAAUUUAGUUUGACUUUGCUACUUCUCCACCAUUGGUUAUGAGGGUGACACAUAUUCCCAACUUGUGAAUCAUUUAUGUCUUGAAAUAUGUACCAUUCAAUUGCUCAUUUGAAUUUGAACAAAUAAUUUUAUAAAACAGAGUAACUUUAGCUAAAUAAUUAUAAUGGAUAAAUGAAUAGAGUGUUUGAUAAAUAUGAUAGUAUUUAUGCGUUGCACGUUUAUUUCUAUUUUUUAUUAUAAAGUUUGUAAAAUAAAAUAGUAAAUAAAAAAAAAAGCACUUAAAAAGCUACACAACUUGUAAAAUUUAUGGUCACCAAAGCAAGAAUUAUUAUCAACCAUACAAAGACUCAAAUUUUAAAAUUUAAAGUCUUAUCGUGUAUAAUAAUUUUUUAUUUGUAGUUAUUUAUUUGUUGAAUAGGAAUUAUACUAGAUGCAUAUUAUAAUUGUACAUAUAACCACAUAUUUAUUAUCUCAUUACACAUAAUACCUAUUAAGCUAAAUUUAAUUGUUUAAUUUUGCAAGUUUAGAGUACAUUCUCUAAUAUUUUGUAUGUAUUGAACAAUCAAGUCAUUUGUGUAGACUAAUUAUUUAUCAAAUUGAACUUGUACUUCUUUCUUCUGAUUUAUAUACUCAUUAUACACAUGUUUUAAUAUUGCCUUAUAAUUUCAAAAAAAAAUCUAUACAAAUUGGGACACACGUGCUCAAAAACUAGUUCUAAAAAACAAGCUAAAAGAAAGACGUAUCUACAUUUGAAGUUCGAUUUUCGCCUAUUUUAUAUUCCGACAUAUUCAUUCACUUUGACUUAAAGGGCGUGUUUUGCGUGGUAGGUGAUGCACUUCAUCCCAUGACUCCUGAUCUUGGUCAAGGUGGAUGUUCUGCUUUAGAGGACAGUGUUGUCAUCGCAAAGUGCCUCGGAGAAGCCUUGAUAAAACCGAUAACAGAACAAGAAGACGAUGAAUCUACGAAGAUUAGAAAAGGACUUGAGAAGUAUGCUAAAGAGAGGAGAUGGAGAAGUUUUACAUUUAUCAGUGCUGCUUAUUUAUCUGGUUUCAUACAAGAGAGUGAUAACAAGAUAAUCAGUUUCUUAAGACAACAUUUUUUGGCUGGAGUUACUAUAUCAGUUACACUAAGAAUAGCUAACUUCGACUGCGGAAGAUUAACUGUUUCUUAGUAGCUCAAUUGGAUCUUUUAGAAGCUAUGAAUACCCUUUAUGGACUUUGUUUAGUAUCUAUCUAGCAUACAUGUUCUGGUUUAGCUGUGUUUAAGAAUUGUAAUACCGAAACGGAUCCUUAUUUUGCAAUAAUAAAAUACAAGUUGUGAGCAACCAAUUGUGUCCUUCAUCAAAGAUAUCCAACAACAUCAGUUGUUUAGAAGUAUUGAACAAGUGUUUUCUUAUCUGAGAUCAUUUCGUGCAAUUAGAUACUACUCCCUAUGUUUCAACGACUUGAUACGAAGUUUAACAAAGUAAAUAAGACUUUUGUACCAUGGACCGCUACUUGGUUCAAUGACUUCCAAUUUCCACAAGGGAUCAUUGUUUUGUUACAUACUCUUGAGUAGAUGUAGGAGGAAAUGCAGGAGUCAAAUCAUGUCUUUAAUUGUUUUUUUUUGUUUUUUUUUGGAUUUCUCACUUGACUUGUCAGGCAAUAGUAUCUCUCAUUGGAAAUUUGUUACAAGUUCUGCAGCAAAAUUUUCUACCGUUUGUCUUACAUAAUGGGAUCAAUUCACAUUGUCUUAGGUGACACACACGGCAGAGAUAGUCGAUGACCUCGAAAUGAAAAUAACAUUUAGAUGGGGUACAAGCACCCCCAUUCUUUUGUUUGUUUUUUCUCUCUAUUAGACUACUUUACUUUGAUUUUAUAUCAAUUUAUGAAUGUCGUAAGUAUGUAUUUUUAAUUGAAAUUUGCUAGUAACUAAACCUUAAAAUUUAUAGUUAUUAGCGUGAAAGGAAUUAAAUUUAACAUUAAAAUACGACCCUCAAUUGAUGUUUCUGGUCAUAGUACUGUUAAAAAAUUACUUAUGAUUGUUACAUUUUAUUAUUCAUUAUAGGCUUAUUUUCACAGAAAUUACACAAGUGUAACUCAUAAACUAGUAUAUAUAUAUAUAUAUAUAUUACUAAAAGUGGGAAGAAUCUAAAGCAAAAAUUAGAUUGCGAAAAUACCCUUAAGUAUUAAUUUAUUUUCUUAAAAUCAUUUUUAAAAAUAGCUUUUUAUUUAUUUAUUUUUAAUAUUUUAUAAAAAAUGAAUGUGUCAAUUACUACUCAUUUAUUUAUUUAUAUUCUGUAAUAUAAACAUUUAUUUGCCUUUAUUUCAAUUAUUCACAUGAAUUUUGAUUAUUAUAACUCCUAUAUUAUAUUAAUAGUCAUGUUCAUAAUAUCAUUUGAUAUUCCAUAUUAUUGUCCUAUAAAUAGAGAUAUUAUAAAGGUGCAAGUAUUACACAAUUUAGUUUGACUUUGCUACUUCUCCACCAUUGGUUAUGAGGGUGACACAUAUUCCCAACUUGUGAAUCAUUUAUGUCUUGAAAUAUGUACCAUUCAAUUGCUCAUUUGAAUUUGAACAAAUAAUUUUAUAAAACAGAGUAACUUUAGCUAAAUAAUUAUAAUGGAUAAAUGAAUAUAGUGUUUGAUAAAUAUGAUAGUAUUUAUGCGUUGCAUGUUUAUUUUCUAUUUUUUAUUAUAAAGUUCGUAAAAUAAAAUAGUAAAUAAAAAAAAAGGCACUUAAAAAGCUACACAACUUGUAAAAUUUAUGGUCACCAAAGCAAGAAUUAUUAUCAACCAUACAAAGACUCAAAUUUUAAAAUUUGAAGUCUUAUCGUGUAUAAUAAUUUUUGAUUUGUAGUUAUUUAUUUGUUGAAUAAGAAUUAUACUAGAUGCAUAUUAUAAUUGUACAUAUAACCACAUAUUUAGUAUCUCAUUACACAUAAUACCUAUUAAGCUAAAUUUAAUUGUUCAAUUUUGCAAGUUUAGAGUACAUUCUCUAAUAUUUUGUAUGUAUUGAACAAUCAAGUCAUUUGUGUAGACUAAUUAUUUAUCAAAUUGAACUUGUACUUCUUUCUUCUGAUUUAUAUACUCAUUAUACACGUGUUUUAAUAUUGCCUUAUAAUUUCAAAAAAAAUCUAUACAAAUUGGGAUACACGUGCCCAAAAACUAGUAUAUGGAUAAUGAUGAUUGAUUUGUAAGAACAGAACAUUUUGUUAUUUGCUGAAUACAAAAAAAGAUGUGGCUUGUUAACUGGUCAUGUUAUCGGAUUGGACCUUAGUUGCAGUCGGCUUGGUGGAACUAUUCAUCCCAAUAGCAGCCUCUUCCAACUCCAUCAUCUCCGGACACUAAAUCUUGCUCACAAUGACUUCAAUUUUUCUUCAAUCCCACAUAACAUUGGCCGAUUGACGAAUUUGAGACAUCUCAACCUUUCUGGUUCUUUGUUUGAAGGGGAAAUCCCAACAGAAAUCUCAUACCUUUCCAAUUUGGUUUCACUUGAUAUGAGUAACAAGUUGUUAGAAGUGACUAGUACUCAUCCAUGGACCGCUAGUUGUGUAUUUAGUGAUGCCAAAGUUGUAUUAUUUUCUCUCAAUUUAUGCCAAAGUUGGAAAUAGACUUAUGAGGGGGAAAGUACCCCAUUUUAUUUGUCUAGAUAUCUUUUCUUUCUUUAAUUUAAACCACACACUUCCAUAUACCCAGUGUAAUUCCUUAAGUCAGGGUUUAAGAAAGGUAGAGUGUACGGAGACCUUAUCUCUAUGAGGUAGAGAUAGAGAGGUUGCUUUCGAGAAUAAAAUACAAGUUGUGAGCAACCAAUUAUGUCCGUCAUCAAAACUACCCAACAACAUCAGUUGUUUAGAAGCAAAUAUGGUAAUUGGUAACAGCUUAAAGGUAAAUCUGAAGUAUUUUUUAAGUGUUGGCUUAUCUGAGAAUUAGAUGCUACUCCCUCCGUUUCAAUAUGUCUGAAUGGUUUUGACUUGACAUGGAGUUUAAAAAAGUAAAAAAAUAAUUGUAUCUUGUGGUCUCAAAUUAAAAUACGUAGAAUGUACCAUGAACCACUAAUUGGUUCAAUGACUUCAAAAUUCCACUGUAACAUUGUCUUGUUAAAUCAUGUCUUCAAUUAUUGUUCUUUUUAUUUUUCUCACUUGACUUAGUUAAGCAAUAGUAUCUCUCAUUGGAAAUUUGCUGCAAUUCACAUUGUUUUGCGUAACACACACGGCAAAUAUAGUGGAUGACCUUGAAAUGAAAACAACAUUUAGAGAAAACAAAUUUGGAAUAAUUGGUACUGGCCACCAAGAAUUAAAGACUCGAGUCUUUAUGGAAAUUGACUUAAAUUUGGGACAAAUUUUUUUGCAACCACAAAUUAGUUUGUGGUAGAUGAGGGGCAAGUACCCCAUUUUAUUUGUCUGGAUGUUUUACCUCACAGUCCCAUAGACAAGUCAACAACAACAAUAACAUAUUCAGUGUAAUCUCACAAGUGGGGUCUAGAGAAAAGUAGAGUGUGCGUGAGAGGUUGCUUUCAAUAGACCCUUGGCUAAAAAUAAAGCAUGGCCAAGCAUUUUGAAAAAGGGAAUACAAAAGUAAAAGUAAUAACAACAAUAAAAUAAUAUGAAAAGAAGAGUAGUACAACAUACAGAUGAAUGAAUAAUAUGACAAUAAAAUAAAGCGAUAUUCGAAGCACAAAAUACACAGGUGAUACUCGGGAAAAAAAAACUACGAUCGAAUAUAACACAUGAUAGACAAGUCAACAACAAUAAUUGCAUAUUCAAUAUAAUUUCACAAGUGGGGUCUAGAGAGAGUAGAAUUUGUGCAGAAAUUACAGGAGCGUAACUCAGAAACUAGUAUAUAUAUAUGGAUAAUGAUGAUUGGUUUGUAAAAACAUAACAUUCUAUUAUUUGCUGAAUACAAAAAAAAAAAAAAAAAGAGAAAAAAGAUGGGACUUGUCUUUUUCUUUUAUUCACUAGUCUGUUUUUUGUCGGUAAUUAGUGAAAGUUUUUCUUCUUCCUCUGUGAUGAUGCAUCAUGUUUGCUCUCCCACUGAAGCUUUUGCUUUGCUUCACUUCAAACAAUCCUCUCAAAUCUCUGACCAACCUAGAUGUUGGGAUGAGACUGAUCUGCAAUAUGAGAGAUAUUUUGAUAUCCCAAAAACAAAGUCUUGGAAUGAGAGUAGGGAUUGCUGCAGUUGGGACGGGGUAACUUGUGACAUGUUAACCGGUCAUGUUAUCGGAUUGGACCUUAGUUGCAGUCUGCUUUUGGGUACUAUUCAUCCCAAUAGCAGCCUCUUCCAACUCCAUCAUCUCCGGACACUAAACCUUGCUUACAAUAACUUCUAUUCUUCUUCAAUCCCGCAUAACAUUGGCCGAUUGAGGAAUUUGAGGUAUCUCAACCUUUCUCAAUCUUUCUUUGAAGGGGAAAUCCCAACAGAAAUAUCAUACCUUUCCAAUUUGGUUUCACUUGAACUUUUUUGUUACGGAUGUGAACUUGAUGAGAGAACAUUUGAAACAAUUCUUCACAACUUCACAAAUCUGGAGGUAGUUUCUCUCCUUGGUGUCAACAUCUCAUCUUCAAUACCUGUGAAUAUUUCUUCAUCCUCCUUACGGUACGUGGAUCUUGGACAUACUAAUCUGCGAGGUGUUAUCACAGAGAGCUUUUUCCUUCUGCCAGAAUUGGAAAAUCUCAAAUUGAAUGGAAAUGAUCUUCUCAAAGGAGUUUUACCAAAGAUCCACCCGAGCAACACUCUGUUGGAGUUGGAUAUUUCCUACACAGGAAUCUCCGGUGAGCUGCCUGAUUCAAUUGGCACCUUGAGUUCAUUGAAUCUCUUGAACAUGUAUAGAUGCCAAUUCUCUGGUUCCAUUCCUGAAUCCAUUGGCAAUCUUACACAAAUGCGGAAAUUGAAUUUUGGAAAUAAUCAUUUCACCGGCCAUAUUCCUUCCACAAUCUCUAAAUUGAAGCACCUCACAUUUCUAGGUCUUUCGUCCAACUCCUUUUCAGGUGAAGUUCCCGACAUUUUUUCUAACCUCCAAGAGCUACGUACUUUAUAUCUUCGUAACAACAGCUUCGUUGGUUCGUUUCCUUCUACAAUUGUAAGCUUGACACAUCUUCAAGACUUAGAAUUGUCGAGUAAUUCCCUAUCUGGCCAACUGCCUAUUAAUGUGAGCAUGCUUCAAAAGCUAACCAUAUUGGAUCUGUCGUACAACUCACUGAAUGGUACCAUACCAUCUUCGGUGUUUGGCCUCCCUUUGCUAUCUUCAUUAUUGCUCCAACAUAAUCAAUUUAGUGGACUAGAUGAUGAGCUCAAAACAAACCCAACAUUAGCACACCUGGGUUUAAGCCAUAAUCAACUCAGUGGUUCUUUGCUUCAAUCACUUUCGAAUCUCACAAACCUUUCUAUGCUUGACCUUUCAUCAAGUAACAUCACCGUUCAUGUGGGAAAACAAAUCACUUUUCCUGGCCUAGAAGUUUUGCGGUUAUCAUCUUGUGAACUAAAGGAUUUUCCACACUUCUUGAGAAAUGUGAAGACACUUUGGCUCUUGGAUAUUUCUAACAAUAAGAUUCGUGGCCAAAUCCCAAAACUGGUUUAGCGGCAUAAGGUGGGACAACUUGUGGUACCUAAACCUUUCGCAUAAUUCUUUAACAGGCCACCUACAACAAUUUCAUUUCCAUAAUCUAGAGUAUCUUGAUCUUAAAUUUAACUUCCUUCAGGGUCCACUACCUUCAUCCAUUUGUAUCAUGAACAAUUUUCAAUUUCUAGAUUUAUCACACAACAACUUCAGUAACUCGAUUCCAAGUUGCUUGGGAAGCAUGACUAGUCUAACAGUGUUGGACUUAAGAAAGAACAAUUUCACAGGGAGUCUUCCAUCGUUAUGUGCGCAGAGCACUUCAUUGAGAACCAUUGUCUUGAAUGGUAAUCAAUUUAAAGGAACUCUCCCUGUGUCGUUGCUCAACUGUAGUGGUUUAGAAGUUCUUGAUAUGGGGAAUAACGCUAUAAAUGACACAUUUCCUGCUUGGCUAGGAACACUUCAACAACUGCAGGUCUUAAUAUUAAAGUCCAAUGUGUUCCAUGGACCAAUUAGUACUUGUCAGACUACGUUUUGCUUUCCCAAGUUGCGAAUUUUUGAUCUUUCGCGUAACAAAUUCAGUGGCUCACUCCCUGCAAAAAGUUUUUGCAAACUUCAAGGCAAUGAUUAAAUUAGAUGGUGAAGACACAGGAUAGAUCAAGUACAUGAAACCAUCUGAUGAUCCAUUUGACACAUCGUAUGAGGAUUCAGUGAGUUUGGUGAUCAAAGGCCUGGAUAUUGAGCUAGAAAGAAUCAGCACAAUUAUGACAACCAUAGACCUCUCGAGCAACCAUUUUGAAGGUGUCAUUCCGAAAACACUAAAGGAUCUCAGCUCACUUUGGCUACUCAAUUUAUCCCGUAACAAUCUCAUAGGUGAUAUUCCAAUGGAAUUGGGGCAAUUGAAUAAGCUUGAAGCGUUAGAUCUCUCUUGGAACCGGCUCACUGGAAAGAUUCCGCAGGAAUUGACAAGGCUAACAUUUCUGGAAAAGUUAAACCUUUCUCAGAAUGUUCUCGUUGGACCAAUUCCUCACGUUCUACAAUUCAACACAUUUGAAAAUGACUCGUAUGGCGGUAACCUUGAUCUAUGUGGUCCUCCUUUAUCAGAGCAAUGUGGAACGAGUGAUCUAUCCCAUGUUCCUCAACCAUUGGAGUCUGAAGACGAAUCAUAUUUUUUUAGUGGAUUUACGUGGGAAUCAGUAGUCAUAGGCUACAGUUGUGGACUAGUUGUUGGAACUGUUGUGUGGAGCCUCAUGUUUAAAUAUCGUAAGCCAGAAUGGUUUGUCGAAUUUUUUGAAGGCAUUUAUCCCAAGAAAAUGAGAAUGUCAAUGAAGAGAGCUCAGAGACGACGGACUUGAUGGAAGAUUGCAAGAGUGGACUUCUCUGUUUUUUAAUUUUCUUUUUGUUGUUUGUAUAUGUUUGAUAGCAAUAUAAUUGCAUGUGUUAUUUUGUGAAUUUCCACUGGAUUAAAAUUAGUGUUCUUGAUCUUUGCUUUCAAACUAAAAAAUUAAACUCAAAAUAAAAACAAGAGGACAUAAAACAUAACUUUCCUUUUUUACUAAAACAAUUUAUUCAAUUACUCUUGAGUUUAAUCAACUUCAACAUGUUUGGUAAUAUCAUCUCAAAUUAAUAAUACUAAAAAUGAUGGAUUUAAGAUCAUUCAAAUCCACAUAUAAAUUGAUUAUUGUAUAAUGGCAAUCCUCAUGCCUUCACUUAAUUGAAAGAAUGAGCCAAAGCUGUCAUGACAUGAGCUUGGUCUGAAAUAAUUUGUGUAGUUGAAGGAUUUUGUCCCAAAACAAUACAAUAACCAUCAUCAUAAUUCUCCAUUCCAUGUGCCAUUAGUUGCCAUACUAAACUUCCUCCCAUUGUUCCACCUUCUUUUGCCAAAUUAUACACAUUUCUAUAUACACUACUCAUAAAUAUAUCUCUUGAUCCUUGACCUCUACUAGACUUUCCAAAUUCAGCAAGCACUAAAGGUUUCUUUAAUAUAUUUCUUGCAUCUUCCCAAUGACUUGUUAUCCACUUUUCCAUCCACACCAAUUGUGCUUCAUCACUUUGUCCAGAUACCCUAUAACGAUCGAUAUAAAGAAAUAUUUAGACCUAUAUAAUGAAAACAUAUGAAAUUGUAUGUAGGGAAAAGAUGUAAAAACUACCAUUGGUCAGUGUAUGCAUGGAUAGUAGCAAAAUCAAUUUCAUUGAUAAGAUGGUUACUAAUGAUUUGAUAUUUCUAAAAUUCAAUUAAUUAAACUUGAAUUGGGGAUUACAUUAACAGUUUUUCCUGAAUAGUCAGCUUGAUCGCGAGGCUCAUUCAUGAGUUCCCAUUCCAUAAUUGUUGGAUCAUCUUUGUAAGCAACUUUAUUAAUACUAUUCAACCUUGUAACCACUUUCUGUAACAAUUUCGUAAUAUUAUUAAUUAAAAAAGUUGUUUAUAUGUAUUAAAUAAUAAUUACCCCAUAUAUACCUCAAUGUGGUUCUUCAAGUAUUUUUUGAGCAUAGGAUGAGUAUAGAAUUCAUCGUCAUUACUAAUUUGAGCUCCUGCAUUUCGCGCCCACCAAACAUAUUGAGCUUUUCCUCCAAAAAUCGUUUCAUUGAUUUACAAAGCUCAAGAUUAAACGAACACCAUAUUUCUUAGCUUCCGCGAUCACAAAAUCCAAGCCCUAAAUUUAGAAACAAUUAAAAUAAGUACUAUCUAAUUAAGAGACUCAUCACAUGCAUUACAAUGCAAUAAUGUAAAAGAUAUCAAAAUUAUAAUAAUAAACCUUUACCUGAAAAACACGUUCAUCAUAAACGCCAGGUGAUAUUUGUAAUGCUCUAUCACCUCCAUCACUAAAAGCCCAAGUACGACAAACAGAAAGACCAGAGGUAGAAGCAUCUUUAAGAACCUCAGUGCCUUUGUAUCUCUCAGUAGGGUCAGCAGCAACAUGCAUCAACCAAUAUGAGUUGAAACCAUUGAAUAGAAAAGGGGAUCCAUUGAGUUCAAAAUGAGAAUCCUUAACUCCUAUAAACCCGGAAUUUGCUUCACAAGCAAGAGCUAAGAACAAGAGAAAGAGCCCAGAAAUGCAACUUCUUUUUGUAUAAGACAUUUUGUUUAGUGAAUUAUAGAAGAUAUAUGUGUGCUAUGUUAGAUGACACCUUUUAUAGUGUGUUGAAGAUAAGGAAAUUUACUAAAAUUAAAUUAGCAAAACUUACAAAAACUAAAAAAAAUUCCUAGUGGAUAUAAUUGGAUAUUGAGAUUUGAUGAAUUUUUUUAAAAAAAUUAGUUAUUUGGUUAAGAUAGAAACAAAGUUCUGUUGAAAAAAUUGUAUGGGGAGAAAAGAAGAAGAAAAAUAUGGAAACAUUAAUUGGUUUGUUUUUUUUAAGGUUUGUUCACUAUUAGAUUUGAUGAUGAAAUAAUAUUGAAACGUGUACUCAUUGUAUUUUUUAUAGUAAUAUACUUGAAUAUUUCUAUGUGGAUGUGUUAUGUGUGUAUUUUAAUCUUAUUUUAUUGCAAGAAAUUGAGCCAAAAUAAAAAUAAAAAUACUUUUAAAAAAAGUUUAAAAGAGAAAUAAAGAGGGCAUAACAUUAUUUGGGAAUAAAAUAAUUUUUUUGGAAGAUAUAUUCUUAAAAAAAAGGUGAGUUUCUUAUUUAUUUUUUUGGUAUGAAUAAGUGAAUUUCUUACUUAUUUUCUGGUAACAUAUUUGGGAUCUUUGAUGUUUAGUUUAUGCUAAUUUGACAAAUUUCAUAGUCCAUAUGUCCCAAGUAUCAUUUUGGAUGAAGUCGUCAAAGACGACUUUAAACUUAGAAUAGGCAAAUUUAAAAUAAGUGUGAUCUUAUUAUACGUGGAGGCGGAUGCAAUGGUUUAAUUAUGAGUUCAAUCGAACUCAAUAUUUUUGUCACAUAACAUAUAUGUAAUGUAGAAGUCAAAAACACAAAAAUAAAAAGAGAUUCUAUAUUCAUAAUUAAAAAAAGUACAAUUAGUUCAGUUUAAAUUCUAAAUUCGACUCAAACUAUAUGUAUAUAGAGUUGUAAGUUGAAAACAAUAGGUUCACUUCUACUCAGAACUCGCCCUGAAUCCGCCUCUGGAAGUAACCACCUAUUCCACGGCUAUGGAGGAAAAAUUGAAAAGAUCGUCCCCAAAAUGCUAUUAUAUACCAAUAUAAAGUAUGAUUUGACGUAUACAGUGUAAUUUUUCGACGAAGAGUGUUCAGAGAAACCACAGAACACCGUAGCUCCGCCCAUGAUCCCUGUAAGCAACCACCUAUCCGGUCGUUAACAUAUUAACCUAAAAAAAAUAUAACCUGAAGUUACAAUUGAUAUUAUUCUAUUUUGUCAACUGGAUUUUAGCGUUAUUGUUGUUUCUCGAUCUAUAUUACUGUUUACUACUUUGUCAACCCUUUAGUUACAUUUUUGAAUUUCUUUUUCUAGCUGAAGUUAAAAUAUACUAUCAGUGUGGAGGGAAAUAGCAUUGAGAAGAUGCAUACAUACUUUUCUUUAGCAACUUGAGUCAUUGCAAACAAUGCAAAAUCUCCGCAGAUGUUGCGGUUGCCAAAAAGUUAAAUAGGCGAUUUCGUUGUGGGAAUGUUGUUGAAAUUAUAUUUUCGGAUGUAAUCCACUGCAUAAAAAUAGGAGCCAGAACCCUUGAAGCCAUAGGGAAGCACUGUUAUGUCUCACUAGUUUGCAUCGAACAAUGCAUCCCCUUAAGGUUACUGACAAGCUAUCUCAAGUGGAUGAAGCUUUGUCAAUAGCCAAUAUAAUGACAAAUCUCAAGCAACUCGAGCCUCCCUAGAUGUUGGUUGGUAUAAAAAGAAAAUUGAGGUCGUUAAAAACUGCAGACAUCUUGAGCUACUAGAUGUAAGAGGUUGUUGGAAUGUGAACCUGAUGAAAAUUUAGUGAAGAAAUUCCAUCUUAUAGGUGGUUGAUGCAAUUGUCAUAGAUUGCUAUAAUAGGAAUAGCUGGGACAAUUGUUCUAACUAUUCAAGUUUUUUGUCUAUGUACAAUGGGAUUUUGUGGUUGGUGAAGCGGAUGACGACGAAUUUGAUGAGAUGUCCGAUGUGUAUUGGGGGGAUGAUCAAGAUAUGGAGGAUGUAAAAAUGUGGUGUAAUGAUGACUUAAAUGAUGUGGACUCUGGAUAUGAUUGGCUGCCAUCUCCUUGAGGUUUGCUUAUAAAAUUCUACUUAUUCAAUUUCCAGAAGUUUUGAAAUACUUCUCUUCUCUAUGUUAAAUGCCUAUGCUUCUCUAUGUUAUAUAUGAAAGUUUGUCCGCUCUCUACAAUACAAGGUAAAUGCGAGUUAUGUGUCUUGUGUACCUUUUUCCUCUUUCUUUGUUCUCUUUUAUUACUUUCUUAACUGUAUGUAUUCAUAUAACAAUAUUUUCAUGCUAUCUACAUGUUUGCUACAUUUGAGUCGAGGGUCUUUCAAAAAAUAGUCUUUCUUCCUCCACGAGGUAAUUGUAAGGCCUACAUACACUCUACCAUCCCCAUACCUCAGUUGUGGGAUUCCAAUGAGUAUGCUGUUGUUUCUUAGCUUGUGGUUCUUUGAGGAGUUCAUGCUUUCAUUUGAAUUUUCCAUCUGGUUGUUUGUUUCUCCUUUUUAACUCUACUGCUGAUUUUUUAAACUAAAGUUAUUCUACUCCAUCUUGUGGUUUCCAGAUUUUCUGUUCUUUUUGUUUUUGUUUGAGCUUCUUCUUAAUCUGCUUCGUCAGCUUUCUAAAUUCAUGUAUGAGCUAGUAAAAGAAACAAAGUCUAGCAGAAGAAAGUUAUGACGCCAUAUCUAAAUAGCUUGAGUCAUGGAAAAGUGUCCCAUGACAGUUUUGUUGAGUUCAUGUGGUAGUUCUAGUUUAAUUUUAAAUUCUUAGAGUCAAAGUUCUAUUGUUGUGCUACUUAAUUAUGUUGUCUUAAUUAAUGUUUUGUUUUCCUAUGAUUUUUCAUUCUUUUAUCUUUUUUUUGUGCAGGGAGAGGGAACAAUUUUUGAAUUGAUUAUUAUCAAUGUGGUUUGUACAACAUUAGCCUGAUUUAUUUCAUUCAUUAUUAUAUUGUGUUACCAACAGUUUAGCUUUAAGAAACUUAUGAAAAGUGAAUACAUGUCAAAUGACAUGGAGAAAGCUUAAAGAUUGGUAGGGUUCAGUGCUUGUUACCUUUUACUAUAAUGCUUCUUAUUAGUCCUUUGUUAUAAAAGUUUAAUUAAUGCACCGGAUAUAGGGUAGUAGAGAUUCAUAUAAAAUUGUGCUUAAAUAGCCUUAACACUACUAAUAUAUAUCUUAAAAUAAUAAGCUUCACAUUUGAUGUAGUCUUGGUACUCUGAUUAAUUUGAAUUGAUAGUGUAUUAUUGUCGAAAUAACUAGGGUGUCCUACUCUAGUCUCUUUUUCAGCUGUCAUUUUGCUGGAUUUCUGUUUGUUUUGGGGUAUUUUUAACUAUCUCAGAUCUUUUCCAGAGUCUUUUAAUCAAAUCUGAUGGAAAUUUGCAUGAGCUUGCUAAAGUAUUAAGUUUAUGAAUGAGUUGUUUUGACAUACUGAAAGGUAAUCAUAAGUUAGAUUUGAAAUUUGAUUUUUCCUUUGUAAUUAUAGCCUCGGUUAAUCAAUCUCUUUGGUGCUUUAUGGUUAUCUAAAUUACAUAAUAUCUUUUUAGAAUAAAUAAGCUUUUUUGCUUCCAAUUUAUGUCCAGAUAAUGUGUAAAGUUGAUGACUGAUCCUUCCUAGUAAUUCUGGUUCUCAUGAUGGAUAAUUCCUUUAUUGAUGAUCUAAAACUCUAGUUAAUGAGAGGCAUAUAAACUGUGUUGUAAUUCUUUUAGUUACACCUUUUAUAUCUAUGGCAUGUCUAUUAACAUUUAUUCUUAUGUCUUUGACAUUUUCUUACAUCUAGAUUUAGAUUCAUUUAUUUGAAAUAUAUGCAAUUUUGUUUGGCAGAAAGACGUGUUUAGUUAUAUAAAUAAUGUGGAUCUCUUAAAAUUCGGAAACAUACCCACCUUAUUUCCAUGAUUAUUUAUGCUUUGAAUUGAACUAAGUUAUAUUCUUUUUUUUUCUGCAGCUUCUCAACACCUGAUUGUUCAAAAGAUCCUACAAGAACCUGUCAUUGAAGAGAGUAUAUAGAGCUGAUAUUAGCGACUAAAUGUUUAUGAACAAGAGAGAUACAUUCAUAUUUUUUCAGUUAUUUAAAGAUGUCCUCUUCUAUACAUGUCAUGGUUCCUUCUUUUUCUACAAUUGUAAUGUUGUAGAAGUGAGAUUGAUAUAUCUUUGAUAAUAAUGCUUAGUUCUUCGUAAUAAACUAUGAAAUAUUUUAUGAGUAUUGAUUAUAUAGUACAUUUUCAGAUGUAUUUAUAUAUUAAGAGUGUGGGCCUACAUAUAAAACACUAAUGUAGAUUGGGUUAGUUUUUGUAAUUAAUGAUUUUUAAUGAUGGGAAUAACAAUUUACGAAAGGAAUAUUUUGUUGUCGCUAAAACACUUUUAACGACAGAGCCUUUAACGACCGGCAACAACUGGAAAUUUUCCGGUUGUUAUUGACUAAUGACAACGGGAUCAAGGCUUUUAGCGACCGGAUUUCCUCUCGUUGAAGACCUAUUUUCCUGUAGUGCCAAGGUAAAUCUUUCUCAGAAAUCCUUAACUUUGAAUCCAUAUUAUUGAAACUUUGACCAACGUGAUAAUUCAAACGUGUAUUUGACCAUUAUCUCAAUUCCUUUUGUUAGUCCAGUACGUGACUAACUUUGAUAAGCUUCAAUUAAGGCCUUAAUUGGGUGUGACGGAGUCAAUUCUGUGGUGGCAAACUGGCUUGGGUUUCAGAAACCUGUCUAUUCUGGGCGCUCUGCAAUUAGAGGCUUUGUUGAGUAUCCGGAAAAACAUGGGUAUCAGCCUAAGUUCCACGCGUAUUUUGGAGGUGGAGUUCGGUUUGGAUUUCUUCCUAGUGAUGAGAAGAGUUUGUACUGGUUUUGCACAUUCACACCAUUUGUUGUUCAUUGUAGCCAGCUCCUACAUACUGUUUCUUUUGAAAUUUUACUUUUUGAAGGAUAUUUUUGUUGGCUAGAGAGCUUACCUCUCUGAAGGGGGAGCCUUGACGUAAUUGGUAAAGUUAUUGUCAUGUGACCUAGAGGUUACGGAUUUGAGCUGUGGAAACAGCCUCUUGCAGAAAUGUUGGGUAAGACUGCAUACAAUAGAUCCCUGUGGUCCAGACCUUCCCCGAACCCUGUGCAUAGUAGGAGCUUAGUGCACCGAGCUGCCCAGAUAGCUUACAUUUCAUAAACUAGUCAUGUUUAGUUGUUCAUUUUUAAUUGGUAUUUUAUGCAGUUGAUGGAAAUGCAGAACAAGAUCCAAUGAAAUUGAAGCAAUUCGUGUUGAACAAGGCUAGUAAUGUGUCUAAAGAACUCUCCACCAUUAUAGACAGAACUACGCUCGACUGUAUAUCUAUUGCUCAGCUGAAAUUGAGGUUGCCAUGGAAUGUUCUGCUUGGAAUAUUUAGAAAAUAACGUUUGCGUGGUAGGUGAUGCACUUCAUCCCAUGACUCCUGAUCUUGGUCAAGGUGGAUGUUCUGCUUUAGAGGACAGUGUUGUUAUCGCAAAGUGCCUCGGAGAAGCCUUGAUAAAACCGAUAACAGAACAAGAGAUGAUGAAUCUACGAAGAUUAGAAAAGGACUCGAGAAGUAUGCUAAAGAGAGGAGAUGGAGAAGUUUUACAUUUAUCAGUGCUGCUUAUUUAUCUGGUUUCAUACAAGAGAGUGAUAACAAGAUAAUCAGUUUCUUAAGAUUUUGGCUGGAGUCACUAUAUCAGUUACACUAAGAAUUGCUAACUUCGACUGCUGAAGAUUAACUGUUUCUUAGUUGCUCAAUUGGAUCCUUUAGAAGCUAUGAAUAUCCUUUAUGGACUUUGUUUAAUAUCUUUCUAGCAUACAUGUUCUGGUUUAGUUAUGUCUAAGUAAGACCGAAUCAGAUCCUUAUUUUACAAUAAUAAAAUUGUGUCCUUCAUCAAAGAUAUCCAACAACAUCAGUUGUUUAGAAGCAAAUAUGGUAAAAGCUGCAUUUUAUUAUUAUCAUGGAAAACAGUGUUAAAGGUAAAUCUCUGAAGUAUAGAAUAAGUGUUUUCUUAUCUGAGAUCAUUUUGUGCAAUUAGAUACUACUCCUUCUAUUUCAAAUCUGGUUUUGACUUGACACGAAGUUUAAUAGAGUAAAGAAGAUCACUUUUGUAUCUUGUGGGCUCAAAUUUAAAAUAUGUUGAAUGUACCAUUGACCACUACUUGGUUCAAUGACUUCCAAAUUCCACAUCAUUGUUUUGUUACAUACUCUUAAGUAGAUGUAUGAGGAAAUGCAGGUGUCAAAUCAUGUCUUUAAUUAAUGUUGUAUAGUUUCUCUCAUUGGAAAUUUGUAAGAAGUCUGCAGAAAAUUUCUGUACAGUGUGUGUUACGUAACGGGAUCAUUUCACAUCGUCUUGCGUAACACACACUGUAGAGAUAGUCAAUGACCUCGAAAUGAAAACAAUAUUUAGAGAAAAUUAGGACAUAGUGAGUAUUAUUUGGUUAAGUCUUACUUCGUCGUCUAAAAAGUCUUGUGGAAUAAUACAAAAUAUGAGUAACAAGUUACUCAUUUUAGUAGAAUGAGCCACCCGCUAACCUGUGACUUAGAGAUAUGGAGGCGAUCCUCAAAUGUUUAGAAACAAAUAUUUGCUUCAGAAUUUGUCUGUAUAGAGAAACAGAUCCACAAUUAGUAAUAUAGAGAUAUUGUGUGUGCUUUAAUUUCUGCUGUAUUGUUUGAUCUUAGUCAAGGACCUGGUCCCUUGACCCCAGCGGGUGGAUUCAUACGAUUCGUGGCUCGAUCCUUAACUGGUUUAGCUACAUGAGAUGGGAUUCAUUGUCGCACCUAAACCUUUCACAUAAUUCACCUACAAGAAACGUAAUAUAGAUCCUGUAUAAUAUUAACAAGUAAUGUUGGAAUAAUCUCAUGAUUUUUUUUUUUUUGUGGUCUAUGUAAGAACCUUGCUAUUUUUAGCAUUUGCUUCGACUAAUGAUUUAGUUAUUUUCCGUCUCAUCAUAUUUGUCCUUUUUUUCCCCUGUAGUCUUUGUGGAAAUUGGCUUAAAGACUUGGAAGUUUUUUAAACAUCUAUUUCUACUACAACUACAUGGAUGUGAAAAGUCUGGAAAAUUAUAGAAUGUGACUCACAAGUGGGAAAAAUUCCACACGGUAUCAUUAAUGUUACAUCCUAGCAACUCCAGAGAAGCUACCUGAACUGUAUCAUAUUUCUCCCUUUGUUUCCCUGUAGUUUUUGUGGAAAUUGGCUUAAAGUCUUCGAAGUUUUUUAAACAUCUUUUUCUACUACAACUACUUGGAGUUUCUCCUCAUUAACUUAGUCAAGAAAUAGAAAUUUGUUACAAGUUCUGCAACAAAUUUUUCUACCGUGUGUGUUACGUAACGGGACCAAUUCAUAUCAUCUUAGGUGACACACACUGCAGAGAUGGUCGAUGACCUCGAAAUGAAUACACAUCUAGAGAAAAAUUAGCUAGAACAUAGGUGAGUAUUAAUUAUUUUCCCAAAGUCAUUUCCGUUUUCUAAAAAGUCUUGUGAAACACUACAAAAUACAGAGUAACAAGUAGACAUUUUAAUUUGUAUAAAGUUGAACAAAUAGACACACAUGUCCUACGUGACAUCCUACAUGUCAUUUUUUAUCCUACGUAGUGUCCUACGUGUAUUAUGUCAUGUAGGACUCAUGUGUCUACUUGUUCAACUUUAUACAAGUUUAAGUGCCUACUUGUGCAUAUCCAAAGUUGAAGGACAUAAACGUAAAAUGAGGCCAAGUUAAAGGGCACAUUUAUGUUUAAUGCCUUUUUGGAAAUAGACUUCUGAGGGGGAAAGUACCCCAUUUUAUUUAAUAAAAACUACAUAAUUAGACAUACUUAACUACCAUAUAUACAUAUAUUAUCUAUAGUUUAAAAUAUUACUCUUAAUACCACUUUUUAAUAAUUAUACCAUAUAUUUUAAAAAAGUUAAAUCUUAUAUGAUAUUGAAUAAUUAUCUUAAAAUUUAAACUCCUUAAUAGAAGGUACAUUAACAAUUAACCUCCCUCAAUUAGGGGUGUGCAUUCGGUUUUUCGGUUUGGUUUUACACUAUUCGGUUUGGAUUUUCGGUUUUUGGUUUUGUAAAAAUGUAACCCAAUCCGAUCCAAAAUAAAUUUGGUUUGGUUUGGUUUUCCUCUAUUCAGUUCGGCUUUUUUCGGUUUGGUUAUUCGGUUAUGUCAAUAAUUAAUAAAAAAUAAACCAAACCAAAAAACCAAACAAAGUAAUUUAUUAAUCCAAAACCAAUCUGAAAAACCAAAAAACCAAUCCAAAUAAAAAUUCGGUUUGAUUUGGUUUGGUUAUUCAGUUUAAUCCGAAUAGUGCACACCCCUACCCUCAAUCUCCUUCACCAACUAUAUAUCUCCUCCCCCCAAACCCCACGUCCUCUGCCAUUUUUUCUCUCUUCCUUCGUCCUCCUCAUAAUAUCUAAUAAAAACGAUUUUGGUUCAUAUUUGAAUCCCAGGUGUAUCUACAUGUCCUAUGCACAUGUCAUUCUUCCAUAUGUCUGAUGUUUGUGUAUCCAAAUGUCUUAUGUAUCUUCCUUUCAUCUAUAUAUCUACCGUUCUUCUCCUUAUUCUAUGUAUUUUGUUUAUUUAUUAAAUGUAUAUGUAUUUUCUAUUAAAUAUAUAUGAGUUGUAGAGUUCAUAUUGCUCUAAAGUUUGAUUUUAUAAACUUUUACAAAUUAGGUUUUACAUUGUUUGCUAGCUUUUGUUGUUUCUCAAAUUUUAAUGAAUGACCAUUCAUAAAACAGGUCGAAAAUAGAUCUAAGUUUAAGAACGAUCCUUUAAAAUUGUUGAAUACAUGUAUCUCACCUUUAAUUCAAAUUAAUAGCACGUAUCUCGAUUUUUAAUACUGUUGGAUACACAUAUCUCACUUUUAAUGAUACAUGUAUCUCGCGGUCAUGAUUUGUUCCUAAAAUUUGUGUGUUUCAGUUGCAUUUUAUAUUUAGAUCCACAUAAUCACAUGUCUAUACUUACUAUGUAUUCGAGAUACAUGUUUUUGAAUAUAAUGUAUGAAAUUGAUACAUCAAAUUAAUACUAGAUACGUGAAAUUAAAACUAGAUCAUAUAAAUAGAUACAUGAAAUUAAUACUUGACACAUAUAACAAAUACACGAAAUUAAUACUAGAUACUUCUAUGAUACAUAUGAAUGUACUUGUAUAAUACUCAUGUAUCUAAGUAUUUAGUUUGUUGGAUACAUCAUAUAUAGAUAAUAGAUACAUCAAAUUAACGAAUUUAUUAUUUUAAGAGUACUAAAUGAAAUUAAUCAAAUUACAUGACCAAGAUAUACAUGCUUUUGUUUAUUACUAAUAAUAUAAUGAAUUUAUUAUUUCAAAGGAUAAUUUUGAAAUAAUAAAUUGAAAUUAAUUAAAUAUAGAUACACUCCUUGAUUUCCGCCUUAUGAUAAGCGAUUUGAUUAAUUUAAAUUUUCAGAAUUAAUUAUUCAUGUAUAUCCUUAAUUACUCCUCUAAUUAAGGAAAUUGGUUACAACCUAUUAAUUCAAACAAAUAAAAUAUGUAUCUCAUACAUGUAUCUCCAGAUUCAAUCUCAUGUAUCCUAAGUAUGAAAAUAUGGUAGAGGAAGUAAUAUUUGAAACUAUCGGGAAUCUUAGUAAUUAGGACCUAAACUAGUGGGAUUUAUGUAGUUUGCCCUUUUAUUUAUCUGGAUAUUUUUCUUUAAUUUAAACCUCACACUUCCAUAGACUAGUCAAAAACAACAUCAAUAAUAUCCCUUAAGUCGGGAUUUAAGAAAGGUAAAUCUGAAGUAUUUUAAAAGUGUUGGCUUAUCUGAGAAUUAGAUGUUACUUCCUCCGUUUCAAUAUGUCUGUAUGUAUGGUUUUCACUUGACAUGGAAUUUAAUAAAAAAAUAAAAAAAAUUAUAUCUUGUGGUCUAAAAUUAAAAUAUGUAGAAUGUACCAUGACCCACUGUUGACACCCAAUUUUGGCCUAAUAUUUUCAAAAAUUCAUAACUUUUAAGUUUUAUUUAUUUAAUAGUUCAAGAUAAUUUUUUUUAUAAUUUUAAAUAAGUUUAUCGAUAACUAUUCUUAUUUAUCAAAAUUUAGAAAUUUUUUUUCCUAGUUAAUCUUAAAAUUACACUUUUUACAUGUCAUUAGUUAUGUUCAUUACAUUUUUUAAUAUUUAUUUUUAAUAUAGUUCAGAAAUUCAUUUCGAUGUGGAUAAAAUUUCUUACACAUAUAUUUUGGGCCACAACCUUGAGCCCAUGACUUGGGCCCAUUGAUAAUUUCCAAUUCUCUACAUAUAGAACUAACACAUUAGGUUAAAGGGGGUGGUGAAUUUAUUUUUAGAAUAAGGUCAUAAACUUUUCAGAUUUUUGUUCACAAGGGGUUUCCGGUCACCACCACCCCGGAAUCCGGCGAAGCUCCGGCAAUACAAAACCCCGACUCAAAACCUCCAUUUUCUUUCCUUCACUGUUCAUCCUUAAAGAAAACACCACCAAAGAACCUCCAAAAUUCGUCUUCUCUCCCCAAUGCCGUUUCCGGCAAGACAACGAACCAAAACAUCCACCAAACCCAUCUUUGUUCCCUUUCUCAUUUUCCGGUGAAAUAAAAACGACCCUAAAUCCACCAGAAAUCCCACACAAACCAGACCACCACAAAAACCCCUCGGAACCGGUCCCUUCCCCUCUCCCUUUUUACGAUUUUUAGUCCAUUUUUGCAAGUACUCCGGCGAGGUCUCAAAGCUCCAGAACCCAUCUUCGGCGAAACGACGCCAAUAACCACAAACUCCGGCGAAGCUUCAUGCCAUGGCUAUGACGACGGUCAGCAACAACAAACCACCAUGAAAUAACCAAAUCCGGCCUUCUAAGAGAAAAAACUUUCAGAUCUGCCCGGAAAGGUAAUAAUUUUGACAACCGUAUUUAGUCAUUGUUUUGUUCUCAUGUUUAUACUAAUUAUUGUAUUAUUUUUCAUAAUGUUGUGUUGUUACACAUAAUUUUAUCAUUAUUGCUAUCAUUAUUUGUGUAUAUUGUGGGUUUGUCUCCAUUUUAUAUUGUUAUUUUCCUUGUAUUUAUUUGAUGAGUUAUUUAGUCACAGUUGGAGUAAUUGUGUUCUGCUUUAAUUAUAUGUUGGUAUUUAAUUAUUAUUGUUGUUAAUGUUCAUUUUGUGGGUUAUCCGCUUUAUAUUAACUAUGCACUAGUUAUUAUUAGUUGUUAUUUUUUAAUUUUUCGUGUUGAGUUUUGUUAACUAUGUUAUUAAUCUUUGCAAAUGUUGGAAAAAUAAAGAAAUAUUCAGCAACUUUAUUUUGGUUUCUGGAUGACACGUAAUGUUACUUGUGACAUAUAUAUAUUUAAUUUAUUAUGCUGCAAUCAUUUAGAUUUUCAAAAGUUGGGUAGUAAUUAGUUUUUUAUAUAUUCUUUAUUACUUAUUGGUUGUUAUCUUGUUUUCUUGUUAUUUUGGACCACUAUAAUGUUGUAUAUCGUUGGUUUGAUUAUUCUGUUGUUGAAGAUUUAUUCCAAUGGAGUUUACAUUAUUUUAAUAUUGGCUAAUUUUGAUUAUCUAUUACGUUCUUUCAUUCGCUAAAUUUUUGUUUGAUGCUACACUUGUUUAUAUAUUUACUUGUUAAAAUUGGCCAAUGAAAAAAUCUCUCCGUCGAUUUUGGAGGCCUCCAUAUUGUAAAAGACGGAAAUUUAGUUUAAGUUCAUAUUUGUUACAAGUUGAAAUUGACCAAUGAGAAAAUCUCUCCAUAGAUUUUGGAGGCCUUUACAUUGUAAAAAACGGAAAUUUAGUUUAAUUUCAUAUAUUUUGUUUGUUCAAAAUGGCCAAUGAAAAAUUCCUCCGUCGGUUUUAGAGGCUUUUCCAUUUUUUAAAGACGGAAAUUUAGUUAAUGUUUAUAUUUUUAUAUGUCAAAAUCGGCCGAUGAAGAAAUUACCGUCGAUUUCCAAGGUCUCCCAUUUUAAUAAGACGAAUUUUUAUUUUUUAAGUUAUUGUACAAUUCAUUUAUUUUUAUUCAUAUUUAUUUAUUACUAACACUUUUACUAAGUAUCUUUAUAGGUACCCGGAGCUGCUUCCCAUUGAAGCUAUUCGAACAAAGUUCGAACAAUAUUUUGAUUCAUUGUCGUAUAUUAUUGACGAUAGACAAAUCUAGGUUGUUUCUUAUAUUAUUUUAUUUUAUUACUUGUGUAUCUUGUUAUGUUUGUUUUAUUUAUAUAUUAUUUUUAUCUCCUCCUCAAUUUGAAAAAGUGAACUCAGUCGGGACCCACAAUUGUGGAUUUCGAAGGAUGCCUAACCCCUUCCCUUCGAAAUAACUUGAAUCCCUUACCUAGAAUCUCUUGGUUUCGUAGAUUAAUUAAUUGGUUUCCUAGUUUUCCUAAAAUUAGGUGGCGACUCCUUUAACAUUCCUUUAAUCAAAAAAUUUUUUUAAAAAUUGAAUCAAUUGUUUAUUUUUUGAGUCAUCGCGACGUUUCGUCCUAUUCGAAUAGAGUAGGGAUGUAAACACCCACUAAUUGGUUCAAUGACUUCAAAAUUCCACUGGAACAUUGUCUUGUUAAAUCAUGUCUUCAAUUAUUGUUUUUUUAUUUUUCUCACUUGACUUAGUCAAGCAAUAGUAUCUCUCAUUGGAAAUUUGUUACAAUUCACAUUGUUUUGCAUAACACUCACUACAAAGAUAGUGGAUGACCUCAAAGUGAAACAACAUUUAGAGAAAACAAAUAUGAAAUAAUUGGUACUAGCAACCAAAGACUUUGAGUCUUUAUGGAACUUGACUUAACAUUAGGGACUAAAAAAGCAACAUAGUGGAUGACCUCGAAAUGAAAACAACAUUUAGAGGAAAAAACUAUGGAAUAAUUGGUACUAUAGCAACCAAGACUUAAAAGACUAAAAGACUCAUUAAUGUUGCAUUACAUGCAUAUUCUAAGUAAUGUUGCAUUACAUGCAUAUUCACACGGUAUCAUUAAUGUUGCAUUAAAUGCAUAUUCUAAGUAAAGACAGGAGUUAAAUCAUGUCUUCAAUUAUUGUUCUUUUUAUUUUUUUCACUUGACUUAGUCAAGCAAUAGUAUCUCUCAUUGGAAAUUUGUUACAAUUCACAUUGUUUUUCAUAACACACACUACAAAGAUAGUGGAUGACCUCAAAAUGAAAACAACAUUUAGAGAAAACAAAUAUGAAAUAAUUGGUACUAGCAACCAAGACUUUGAGUCUUUAUGGAACUUGACUUAACAUUUGGGACUAAAAAAGCAACAUAGUGGAUGACCUCGAAAUGAAAACAACAUUUAGAGGAAAAAAAAUAUGGAAUAAUUGGUACUAUAGCAACCAAGACUUAAAAGACUUGAGUCAUUAUGGAAAUUGACUCAACAUUUGGGACAAUUUUUUUUACAACCACAAAUUAGUUUGUGGUAGAUGGGGGGCAAGUACCCCAUUGAGUUCGAAUCAUGAAGUUAGUAUCCGAGACAUGUAUAAUACACAAUUGCAAAUAGUAUGGACAAGAGGGGGUUGCUUAGGUGGUAGCACCUUCCACCUCUUAGCUUAAUGUUAAUUAUAUAUACUACUUUAUUCAUGUUUUAGUUUGACUCGGUGAAGAAGAUUCUUGAAUUUUGAUUGAUUAUGGGAGAAGGCGUGGAAAAAAACUCUAAAAAUUAUGUACUGAUAUUGUAUAAUAUUUUCCAUCUAUAUUGUUAUGAUUAAAGUCCUAACAAGAAUGUGUAUGUUGUAUUUUUUUCUUCUCUAUUUUUUUAUUGUUUGUUUUUCUUUCUAUUAGACUACUUUAAUUCGAUUUUAUAUGAAUUUCUGAAUGUCGUAAAUAUGUAUUUUUAAUUGGUGACUUGAUUGAAAUUUUGCUAACUAGUAACUAAAAUUUAAAAUUUACCGUUACUAGCAUGAAAGGAAUUAAAUUUUAAACAAUAAAAUACGACCCUCAUUUAAUGUUCUUGUCACAAUACUUUUAAAUUAUUGUUUUUAUAAUUAUUGCAUUUUAUUACUCAUUAGAGGAAUAUUUUCACAAAAAUUACACAAGUGUAACUCAUAAACUAGUAUAUAUAUGUGGAUAAUGAUGAUUGAUUUGUAAGAACGAACAUUCUGUUAUUUGUUGAAUACAAUUUUUUUUUUAAAAAAAGAUGGGAAUUCUCUUUUUCUUUUAUUCACUUGUCUGUUUUUUGUUGGUAAUUAGUGAAAGCAUUUCUUCUUCCUCUGUGAUGAUGCAUCAUGUUUACUCUCCCACUGAAGCUUUUGCUUUGCUUCACUUCAAACAAUCCUUUCAAAUCUCUGACCAACCUAGCUGUUGGGAUGAGACUGAUCUGCAUUAUGAGAGAUAUUUUGAUAUCCCAAAAACAAAGUCUUGGAAUGAGAGUAGGGAUUGCUGCAGUUGGGACGGGGUCACUUGUGACAUGUUAACCGGUCAUGUUAUCGGAUUGGACCUUAGUUGCAGUUUGCUUUUGGGUACUAUUCAUCCCAAUAGCAGCCUCUUCCAACUCCAUCAUCUCCGGACACUAAACCUUGCUUGCAAUGACUUGUAUUCUUCUUCAAUCCCGCAUAACAUUGGCCGAUUGAGGAAUUUGAGGCAUCUCAACCUUUCUUAUUCUUUCUCUGGAGGGGAAAUCCCAACAGAAAUAUCAUACCUUUCCAAUUUGGUUUCACUUGACCUUUAUUGUUAUGAAUGUGAACUUGAUGAGAGAACAUUUGAAACAAUUCUUCAAAACUUCACAAAUCUGGAGGUAGUUUCUCUCUAUUGUGUCAACAUCUCAUCUUCAAUACCUGUGAAUAUUUCUUCGUCCUCGUUAAGGUACGUGAACCUUGUAAAUACUAAUCUGCGAGGUGUUAUCACAGAGAGCUUUUUCCUUCUGCCAAAUUUGGAAAGGCUCUAUUUGAGUUGGAAUGAUCUUCUCAAAGGAGUUUUACCAAAGAUCCACCCGAGCAACACUCUGUUGGAGUUGGAUAUUUCCUACACAGGAUCUCCGGUGAGCUGCCUGAUUCAAUUGGCACCUUGAGUUCAUUGAAUCUCUGAACAUGUAUAGAUGCCAAUUCUCUGGUUCCAUUCCUGAAUCCAUUGGCAAUCUUACACAAAUGCGGAAAUUGAAUUUUGGAAAUAAUCAUUUCACCGGCUAUAAUCCUUCCACAAUCUCUAAAUUGAAGCACCUCACAUCCCUAGACCUUUCGUCCAACUCCUUUUCAGGUGAAAUUCCCGAUAUUUUUUCUAACCUCCAAGAGCUAUGUUAUUUAUCUCUUUUUGACAACAGCUUCAUCGGUUCGUUUCCUUCUACAAUUGUAAGAUUGACACAACUUCAACACUUAGACUUGUCGCACAACUCACUGAAUGGUACCAUACCAUCUUCGGUCUUUAGCCUCCCUUUGCUAUCUUCAUUGUCGCUCCAACAUAAUCAAUUUAGUGGACUAGCCGAUGAGUUCAAAACAAACCCAACAUUAGAACACCUAGAUUUAAGCCAUAAUCAACUCAGUGGUUCUUUUCCUCAGUCACUUGCGAGUCUCACAAACCUUUCUACCCUCAUCCUUUCAUCAAAUAACAUCACCGUCAAUGAGGGAAUACAAAUCACUUUUCCUAGCCUAGAAGUUUUACAGUUAUCGUCUUGUGAACUGAAGGAUUUUCCACACUUCUUGACAAAUGUGAAGUCACUUAGGAUCUUGGAUAUUUCUAACAAUAAGGUUCGUGGCCAAAUCCCAAACUGGUUUAGCGGCAUGAGGUGGGACAACUUGUGGUACCUAAACCUUUCGCAUAAUUCUUUAACAGGCCACCUACAACUAUUUCAUUUCCAUAAUCUAGAGUAUCUUGAUCUUAAAUUUAACUCCCUUCAAGGUCCAAUACCUUCAUCCAUUUGUAACAUGAACGAUCUUCAAUUUCUACUUUUAUCACACAACGACUUCAGUAACUCGAUUCCAAGUUGCUUGGGAAGCAUGUCUAGUCUAACAGUGUUGGACUUAAGAAGGAACAAUUUCACUGGGAGUCUUCCAUCGUUAUGUGCGCAGAGCACUUCAUUGAGUACCAUUGUCUUGAAUGGUAAUCAAUUUAAAGGAACUCUCCCUGUGUCGUUGCUCAACUGCAGUGGUUUAGAAGUUCUUGAUUUGGGGAAUAACGCUAUAAAUGACACAUUUCCUGCUUGGCUAGGAACACUUCAACAACUGCAGGUCUUAAUAUUAAAGUCCAAUGUGUUCCAUGGACCAAUUAGUACUUGUCAGAGUAGGUUUUGCUUUCCCAAGUUGCGAAUUUUUGAUCUUUCGCAUAACAAAUUCAGUGGCUCUCUACCUGCAAAAGUUUUUGGAAACUUCAAGGCAAUGAUUAAAUUAGACGGUGAAGACACACGAGAGAUCAUGUACAUGAUGCCAUCUAUAAUGCCAUUUUACUCAUCAUCAUAUGAGGAUUCUGUGAGUUUGGUGAUCAAAGGGCAGGAUAUUGAGCUAGAAAGAAUCAGCACAAUUAUGACAACCAUAGACCUCUCGUGUAACCAUUUUGAAGGUGUCAUUCCGAAAACACUAAAGGAUCUCAGCUCACUUUGGCUACUCAAUUUAUCCCAUAACAAUCUCAUAGGUCAUAUUCCAAUGGAAUUGGGGAAAUUGAAUAAGCUUGAAGCAUUAGAUCUCUCUUGGAAUCGGCUCACUGGAAAGAUUCCGCAGGAAUUGACAAGGCUAACAUUUCUGGAAAAGUUAAACCUUUCUCAGAAUGUUCUCGUUGGACCAAUUCCUCACGUUCUACAAUUCAACACAUUUGUAAAAUAGACUCGUAUGGCGGUAACCUUGAUCUAUGUGGUCCUCCUUUAUCAAGCAAUGUGGAACGAAGUGAUCUAUCCCAUGUUCCUCAACCAUUGGAGUCUGAAGACGAGUCAUAUUUUUUUAGUGGAUUUACGUGGGAAUCAGUAGUCAUUGGCUACAGCUGUGGACUAGUUGUUGGAACUGUUGUGUGGAGCCUCAUGUUUAAAUAUCGUAAGCCCGAAUGGUUUGUCAAUUUUUUUGAAGGCAUUUAUCCCAAGAAAAUGAGAAUGUCAAUGAAGAGAGCUCAGAGACGACGGACUUAAUGGAAGAUUGCAGGAGUGGACUUUUCUGUUUUUUUAAUCUUCUUUUUGUUGUUUGUAUAUGCUUGAUAGCAAUAUAAUUGCAUGUAUUGUUUUGUGAAUUUCCACUGCAUUAAAAUUAGUGUUCUCCAAUCAAUAAUUCCUUUAGCAUAUAUAAAAAAAUUAAAACUCAAAAUAAGAACAAGAGGACAUAAAACAUAACUUUCCUUUGUACUAAAACAAUUUAUUCAAUUACAUUCUUGAGUUUAAGCAACUUCAACAUGUUUGAUAAUAUCAUCUGAUCAAAUAAUUUAUAUUAAAAAUGAUGGAUUUAAGAUCACUCAAAUCCUCUUAUAAAUUGAUUAUUGUAUAAUGGUGAUCCUCAUGCCUUCCCUUAAUUGAGAGAAUGAGCCAAAGUUGUCAUGACAUGAGCUUGAUCUGAAAUAAUUUGUGUAGUUGAAGGAUUUUGUCCCAAAACAAUAUAAUACAAUAACCAUCAUCAUAAUUAUCCAUUCCAUGUGCCAUUAGUUGCCAUACUAAACUUCCUCCCAUAUUGUUCCACCUUCUUUUGCCAAAUUAUACACAUUUCUAUAUACACUACUCAUAAAUAUAUCUCUUGAUCCUUGACCUCUACUAGACUUUCCAAAUUCAGCAAGCACUAAAGGUUUCUUUAAUAUAUUUCUUGCAUCUUCCCAAUGACUUGUUAUCCACUUUUCCAUCCACACCAAUUGUGCUUCAUCACUUUGUCCAGAUACCCUAUAACGAUCGCUAUAAAGAAAUAUUUAGACCUAUUUAAUGAAAACAUAUGAAAUUGUACGUAGAGAAAAGAUGUAAAAACUACCAUUGGUCAGUGUAUGCAUGGAUAGUAGCAAAAUCAAUCUCAUUGAUAAGAUGGUUACUAAUGAAAUCUGUUCCAACUUGAUAGCCAGGAUUAACUGAUUUUCUUUCAGGAAUUGAAUCACCAUAAAAUCCCUCCAUUCCAACCUCUAACAAGUGCUUGUUGUCUAAUGACUUCACAAAACUUGCCAUUUCUUGAACCCAAUAUUAGUCAUUUAACAAUAUUAGUCAAAAACGUCAAUCACAAAUUUGAUAUUUCUAAAAUUCAAUUAAUUAAACUUGAAUUGGGACUUACAUUAACAGUUUUUCCUGAAUAGUCAGCUUGAUCGCGAGGCUCAUUUAUGAGUUCCCAUGCCAUAAUUGUUGGAUCAUCUUUGUAAGCAACUUUAGUAAUACUAUUCAACCUUGUACCCACUUUCUGUAACAAUUUCAUAAUAUUAUUAAUAAAAAAAGUUGUUUAUAUGUAUUAAAUAAUAAUUACCCCAUAUAUUCCUCAAUAUGGUUCUUCAAGUAUUUUUUGAGCAUAGGAUGAGUAUAGAAUUCAUCGUCAUUACUAAUCUGAGCUCCUGCAUUUCGUGCCCACCAAACAUAUUGAGCUUUUCCUCCAAAAUCAUUCCAUUGAUUUACAAAGCUCAAGAUUAAAUGAACACCAUAUUUCUUAGCUUCCGCGAUCACAAAAUCCAAACCCUAAAUUUAGAACAAGUAUAUCUAAUCAAGGGACUGAUCACAUGCAUUACAACGCGAUAAUGUAAAAAAGUUAUCAAAACUAUAAUAACAAACGUCCUUUACCUGAAAAACACGUUCAUCAUAAACACCAGGUGAUAUUUGUAAUGCUCUAUCACCUCCAUCACUAAAAGCCCAAGUACGACAAACAGAAAGACCAGCGGUAGAAGCAUCUUUAAGAACCUCAGUGACUUUGUAUCUUUCAGUAGGGUCAGCAGAAACAUGCAUCAACCAAUAUGAGUUGAAACCAUUGAAUAGAAAAGGGGAUCCAUUGAGUUCAAAAUGAGAAUCUUUAACUCCUAUAACCCCGAAUUUGCUUCACAAGCAAGAGCUAAGAACAAGAGAAAGAGCCCAAAAAUGCAACUUCUUUUUGUAUAAGACAGUUUGUAUAAUGAAUUGUAGAAGAUAUAUGUGUGAUAUGUUAGAUGUCACCUUUUAUAGUGUGUUGAAGAUAAGGAAAUUUACUAAAAAUAGCAAAACUUGCAAAAACUAAAAAAAAUUCCUAGUGGAUAUAAUUGGAUAUUGAGAUUUUAUGAAAAAAUAUAUUUUUUAAGGCAGUUAUUUGGUUAAGAUAGAAACAGAGUUUUGUUGAAAAAUUUGUAUGGGAAGAAAAGAAGAAGAAAAAUAUGGAAACAUUAAUUGGUUAGUUUUUUUUAAGGUUUGUUCACUACUAGAUUUGAUGAUGAAAUAAUACUGAAACGUGUACUCAUAGUAUUUGAUAGUAAUAUACUUGAAUAUAUAAUGCAAAUACCUGAAGAACUCUUUCAUAAAUUUUAAUUUCUAUGUGGAUGUGUUAUGUGUGUAAUUUAAUCUUAUUUUAUUGCAAGGAAUUGAGACAAAAUAAAAAUAAAAAUAAAAAUAUUUUUAAAAAAAAGUUAAAAGAGAAAUGAAGAGGGCAUAACAUUAUUUGGGGUUAUUCGAAAUAAGAUGUUCUGACCACUUAUAAAAUGAAUAUGAAAAAAAUAACAUUUUAAAAUUUCUUAUGUCUAAAAAUUAAAAACUCUCGUAAAAAAUCAUAAAAUUAAAAUAAAAUAAAAUUGUAGUGGCCUACAAUUUACAGAAACUCAAUUUAUAUACUUGAUUAGAAUAUGGGUACUUUUAGUUCCAUUGUUUGAGAAGUGGAGAAAAGGAAUUUAGGAAGAUGCAUUCUUAAAGAAUAAGUGGAUUACUUAUUUAUUUUCUGACGUGAAUAAGUGAAUUUCUUACUUAUUUUUUGGUGUCAUAUUUAGGAUCUUUGAUGUUUAUUCUAUGCACAUUUGACAAAUUUCAUAGUCCAUAUGAGAGCGGCGACUAUCGCAUUGAGGACUAUAUGUCCCAAGUAUCGUUUUGGAUGAAGUAGUUACGAAUUUAAACUUAGAAUAUGCGAAUUUAAAAUAAGUGUGAUCUUAUUAUACAUGAAGGCGGAUGCAAUAAUUUAACUAUGAGUUCAGUCAAACUCAAUAUUUUUUUCACAUAACAUAUGUGUAGAAGUCAAAAAAACAAAAACAAAUAGAGAUUAUGUAUCCAUAAUUAAAAAGUACAAUUAGUUCAGUUUAAAUUCUAAAUUCAACCCAGAGUAUAUGUAUAUGGAGUGGAAGUUGAAAACAAUAUGUUCACUUCAACUCAGAACUCGCCCUGAAUCCGCCUCUGGAAGUAACCAAUUAUUCCAGGGCUAUGGAGGAAAAGUUGAAAAGAUUGUCCCCAAAAUACUAUUAUAUACCAAUAUAAAGUAAGAUUUGACUUAUACAGUAUAAUUUUCCGACGAAGAGUGCUCAGCUGACCACCCAGGAACCACCGUAGCUCUGCCCAUGGUCCUGAGAAGUAACCAUCUAUUCUAGGAGUUUGGAGGAAAAGUUAAAAACAUCAUCCCCGAAGCCUGGAUCAGUAAUAGUGAAAUCACAUGGCUGCUGCUGUUGCUGCAAAUUAUCAUCAGUGCAAAUACUGUAAUUCCCAAAUGGACUAGAUUGAAGUACAUUCUUCCACAUAUCACUAUUUUCUUGUUGUAUAUUACUAGUAUAUUUUGGUGUCGAUUCAUAAAAAUCGCUUCCAUCAAACAUCUUUAUUUGAGAAGUCUGGUGCACUAAGCUCUCGUUAUGUGUUCUAAAACAAAAAAAAUAAUUAGCUACGAGCUACUUCAUCCGUUCCUAUUUAGUUGUCCUGUUAGGCUAUUGUUUUACAGAAUUCUUAAGAAAAAAUUAGUUAGGAGUGUAAUUUGACUAAUAUAUAUCUUAUUAAUUUUUUAUCUUUAUUUAUUUCCAUAAAUAUCAUGUCAAGUCAAACGAUGCACCUAAAAUCGAACGAAAAGAGUACUUUUUUUUCUUGAUUUAUUGAAUUGAAAAAUAUUUAAAAAUAAUUAUUUUUAAUAUACACAACAACUAAACGAGACAGUAUUUAGCAAUGAACAAAUGACCAAAUUUGUAGCUAAUUUGGGGUCAUCAUUAGUGUUCAUAUCAGUCCAUUUAAGCUUAUCUUAGUUUUUAAUAAUAUAAGUACUUCAAAUACUCUAUAUCUUCGUGUAUAAAUCUCUUAACAAAAAAUAUAAUUUUCUAAUUAGGCAGCAUAAUUCACUAAGCAUUUCGAGUUCACACAGAAUUUGACAAAAAAUGACUCACUCCAACUCCUAAGUGGUGAGAUCUAAGCCACCUAUACCCUAAUACAAGGAUGUUCAUAAUACAAUUUUAUCGUAUCAUCAAAUUAAACAGUAUCACAUAAAAUAUAACGAAGAAAGUACUAAAAUUUGUAAUAAUUAUUUUACCUUUGUGUGUGAUUGAGCAAGGAAGUGCAAUUAGGACGAACAAAAGCAAGAGCAGCAGCAUCUCCAAAGGUAAAAUAAGAGGUGUCAAAUGGACGAGUCGAGAUGAAUUUUUGAAGAGUUUGUUGAGGAAGUAAGCAUUUUUUUGAUGCAGGACUAUUUAAUUCUUCAGGAGGAUGAGCAAAUGCUUUGUGAAAUAUAGCCAACAUUGUAUCUUUUUUUAGCUUCAAGAUGAAUAUCUAACAACAAUAUAAAAAAAAUGGUUACUGAAGGAGGAUAUAUAUAUAUAAUACACUUUUUACAUUAAUGUUUUUGUUUUUAUUUUUAUUUUUAUAGUAUAAUAAUAAUAAUAAAGGAGGCCAAAGAUGACAUAUGUCAAUUUUAUUUUGGAGUGAUAGUGUGACGUGACAAUGAUGAGGAUGGAUAAGGUUUCUCGUAUUCCCAUGAUGUCUUUAUCCAUUUAGAUUUUAUUAAGAAUUUUAAUAUGAAAUAAUCCAAACUAUAUUAAAUUGAAAAAAUAAUUAAAUCUAAAAAUAUCUCUCUUUAUCACAGUUUGAUUCAAAACUCAGUAUCACUAAUAGUUUAUCCAAAAAUGCUCUUUUCUUAUUUAAUGGAUUAUUUUUUUAAAAAAAAUAUGUAUAUAUAUUAUAUACUAUUAAACACAUUUUAUUUAUUAUAAAAUAAGUUAGUAAUAACUUUUUCUUAAGUCAAAAUAAAAAUAACAUGACUAAAUGUACCUUUUUUUUUUACUAAUAACAUAUAUAUUAUACAUUACAUUAUAUUAUAUCAUAUAUUAUAUUAAAUUAAAUUAAAUUAUAUUAUACAUUAGUAUAAGAGGCUAGAACACACAUGUUGACGAUGACAUGUGUGUUUCUUGGAAUUAAAUUUCUUAUUGAAGGGCAUUCUUGUAAUAUAGUAUUAAAAGAAUUUUAAUAAUUUUCAUAUAUUUAGAAAUUAUGUAAUUAAUAUUAUUAAUUAUAAUAAUUAGUAAUUUUUAAAAAAUAUAAAAAAAAUAUCAGUCAACUCUCAAAUUUUAUUGGUGUCACAUAAAUUGGGAUAAUAGAGUAAAAUUAUUUUUAAUAAUUUAUAUAUUUACAAAUUUUAUAAACUAUAAAUUGCAAUAUAAAUGUCUCUAAAUUUUUUUUUCGAUGAUUAAUAUAUUGUAUAGAAAUUCACAUUAUUUUUUAUUCCUUAUCUGUUUAGUUAUUAUUUAUUUCUCCAAAUAUUUUAUUUCUGAUUAUAGUUUUCUUUUUGUUAAGCUUUAUGUCAGCUGUGGAGGCGAGCCGAAUUAUUUUUUUCUAUAAAAAGGAAGAAAUUGAGCUUAAAACCACUUGAAGUGGGGCCAACAAGCUUUAACAAAUCUGUGGGUGCUUAUAAAAUGUUUAGCGGUCUAUAUUCAAAAUUAGAGGAUAUAAAUAUCAGCUGAAAUUAAAUUAAAUGAUAUUCAUUAUGUCUUUAAUUUAACACUAUUUUAUCCAUUCCAUAUUAGAUAAACACUUUCUAUACUAUAUAGUGAUUAAGAAAUCAUUAAUAAAUUGAUCAACUUUACUAUUUUAUCCUUUAUUCAUAUCAAUUCCUAUCAAAAUAAGUUAGAAAAAACCAUACAAAGAGUAUAGAAAUAACUAGUAUUGAGAAUUGUUCACAUUCAAAAGGCCAUAUUGAUUGUAAUUUGUAGUAAGUGAUUAAGUAAUAUAAGAUAACUAUUUUUAAUAAGAUCCUUAAUAAAAUCGGUUAUUAUUGAUAUCUUCUUUUCGGUUCCUUUUCCAUAAGUCCAUAACCAUUGCUCAGAAAAGAAAGAGAUAAGAAGACUAUGAAAAAUAUGCUCAGAAAUCCAUAAUACAAUCGGCCCAUAACGAUCAAAUUGAUUAUCUUCAUACUCAAAUCGAAGGAGUAUGAAAUUAAAAUAAUAUAUUUUUAAUUUCGAUUUACGUGACAUUGUUUAACUCAAUGUGAUUUUGAAAAAUAGAUUCUUUUUGUGAUCUAAUCAAUCAAUUGUAUGGAUUUAAAAAAUAGUUAAUAUUUGAAAUUUUGCAUGUGCCACAUAAAUUAGAACAAAGAGAGUAAUAAAUAUUAUUUUCAAAAUUCUGUAAAAAAAGGUACUACAAAUCACAAUAGCUAACAAUUUAAAAUAUUUUUACAAUCAUAUAAAAAUUUCAAUAACUUCUCAAAUUUCAUAAUAUAUGACAUAAGAAGAGGGAAUAACCAAUAUAUUUAUAAAAAUAAAUGACAUAUAAAAUGAAAUGGAGAGAGUAUUAGUUUUUGAAAAUGGAAAAGGACAAAACACAUAUAAAAUUAAAACACAUAUAAAAAACAAGUUGGUUUAACUCUCAAACAUAAAAAGUAACAUAUGUUAUUAAAAACUUUAAUAAAAAGUACUAUAAUUUACAAUAAAUAAUAACUUAAAAUAUCUACAAGAGAACAAAAAAAAGACUAAUUUUUGUACUGCUUGUGUCACAUAUAUUAGGAUUGGGAUGAUUUUAAAAUUUUAAUUUUGGUUAUACAUUAUAAAAUAGCCGAAAAAUUGAAUGAUAUAAUUUUUUUUAAAAUAACCGAAUGAAUCGUCCUAUCGAUAACCCUAAUGUUACUUCUACUCUGUUUAUUUUUACUUAAAUUUAGAAAGAUAUGCUUCAUUUCUACCCUCAAUCUUAUCGCUACAUUUAUUUGCUAUUUAAAAUUGAAAUUAAAAAGACAAAUGACAAAUAAGUUUCUAUAUUAGCUCACUUAUGAGCAAAAUAUAUUAUAACAAUCUUUACUAAUUUUAUAACAAUACAUAAACUAUACUCCCUCCGUCCCAUAUUAGAUGGGCACUUCCAACUUUACACGGUGAUUAAGAAAUCAUUAAUACAUUGGAAGACUUCACCAUUUUGCCCUUUCUUUAUAUCAAUGCACAUUGAAAUGAGUUACAAAAAAUACACAUACAAUAUAGGAAUGGUCAUAUUAAUUGUAGGGGUAAAAUGGAAAAGAAUUAAUUAAUUCUAUCCUAAUUUAAUAAGUGCUCAAAUAAUAUGAAAAAUAAAAAUUUAGUAAGAUUCUCAUCUAAUAUGGGACGGAGAGAGUAUUAGUUUUUGAAAAUGGAAAAGGACAAAACACAUAUAAAAUUAAAACACAUAUAAAAAACAAGUUGGUUUAACUCUCAAACAUAAAAAGUAACAUAUGUUAUUAAAAACUUUAAUAAAAAGUACUAUAAUUUACAAUAAAUAAUAACUUAAAAUAUCUACAAGACAACAAAAAAAAGACUAAUUUUUGUACUGCUUGUGUCACAUAUAUUAGGAUUGGAUGAUUUUAAAAUUUUAAUUUUGGUUAUACAUUAUAAAAUAGCCGAAAAAUUGAAUGAUAUAAUUUUUUUUAAAGUAACCGAAUGAAUCGUCCUAUCGAUAACCCUAAUGUUUCUUCUACUCUGUUUAUUUUUACUUAAAUUUAGAAAGAUAUGCUUCAUUUCUACCCUCAAUCUUAUCGCUACAUUUAUUUGCUAUUUAAAAUUGAAAUUAAAAAGACAAAUGACAAAUAAGUUUCUAUAUUAGCUCACUUAUGAGCAAAAUAUAUUAUAACAAUCUUUACUAAUUUUAUAACAAUACAUAAACUAUACUCCCUCCGUCCCAUAUUAGAUGGGCACUUCCAACUUUACACGGUGAUUAAGAAAUCAUUAAUACAUUGGAAGACUUCACCAUUUUGCCCUUUGUUUAUAUCAAUGCACAUUGAAAUGAGUUACAAAAAAUACACAUACAAUAUAGGAAGGGUCAUAUUAAUUGUAGGGUAAAAUGAAAAAGAAUUAAUUAAUUCUAUCCUAAUUUAAUAAGUGCUCAAAUAAUAUGAAAAAAUUUAUUUUAGUAAAAUUCUCAUCUAAUAUGGGACGGAGAGAGUAACAAUAUAACUUUAUUAAUGUUGGGCCCGGGCAGCGCCCGGGCUUUCUUUACUAGUAUAUAUAUAUAAAAUAAUGUAGUAGUAGUCUGUUAAAGACAGCUAACGUCAAGAUUGACUAGUGUUGAAAAUGCUAACGUAGGAGCCUGCGUCAUUUAUAUUCUUUGGACCCAUUUUUUAAUGAAUUAAUGAUUGGCUGCACUAUUAUAUAUAUUGAGGAUUUUUGCAUAUAUUAAAUUAGGAAAAACAGACAAAUAAUGGAAACUGAAGAAAAUAUUGUAAUUGUUGGUGCUGGCAUAGCUGGUCUUGCUACUUCUUUGGCCCUUCACAGGUAAUAAUGGUUGCUUCCUUCGUCUCAGUUUAUGUGAUAGUUUUCGAUUUUUAAAAGUCAAAUAAUUUAAGUUUGAUUGAAAAUUUGUGUAUGAAAUCCCCUACCGUAAAAAGUACUAUAAAUCACAAUACUUGAUAAUUCAAAAUGUUUAAAAGAUCUAUGAAAAACUUAUGGUUAAAGAUACUCUUGUUUGAAUCUCGAAAUAUGAAAAGUGCCACGUAAAAUAGGAUAGGGAUAGUAUUAUAUUUCGUGUAUAUACUUGUUCAAUAAUCACAUGAUCUACUUCCAAAAGUUUGAUUUCUCAUAUCAUAAUACAAAAAUAUGCCUUGAUCUCAUGAACAUUUAUGCUCUUCAAUUUUGGAUGUGCAUAAGCAAACAUUUAAACUAUCUAUAAGUUAAAUAAGUAGACACACGUCCUAUGUGACAUAAUACACAUAGGAUGCAGAACUGCCACGUAGGAUGCCACACGGGACACGGGCGUUUACUUGUUCAACUUUUGAAUAGUUUAAGUUGUCUAUUUGUACACACUCAAAGUUGGAGGACAUAGAUGCUAGUUUGGGUCAGGUUAGAUGAUACAUUUAUGCAUUAGGCCUUUCUAGAAUAUGAUUUUUCUGGUAUAAUAGCUAUUAGUUGAGUGACGAUUUGAGAAAUAACUCGGCGGAAGGCGUGUCUUGUAUGUAAUAUGUAGGUUGGGGCUGCGGAGUAUUGUGUUGGAAUCAACAGAUUCGUUGCGAGCUACUGGAUUUGCAUUGGCGUUGUGGACUAAUGCCUGGAGAGCUUUGGAUGCAUUGGACAUUGGGGACUCUCUUAGACAACGUUCCUUAUCCAUUACUGGGUAUACCUCUUUAUUAUUAGUUAGGAUUUAGGAUUACUAACAACUUGAAGUUCAAUUUCGGAUUUUUAUGGUCAAAUGUGUUUUCCGGAGUUCUAGAUAUGGAAGAAAGUUGAAAAAUUGAUUGUCCAAAAUGCGUUCGAGUUGAUGUGCAGGCUUAAAAGUUUCUCAGCGGAUUCAGGUGCACCUAUCAAGGAGGUAUCAUUUGUGGGGAAUAACAGGUUAGCAUUAUAUCAAUUUUCGUAUUAGUUGGGGUCGGUUAUAUAAGUCCUUUUAUCUAUUCAUUUUAUGUAUGUUCAUUUUGUUCUAAAACAUAAUAAUUUAGUUUGAGAGACAAAUUCGAAAUUUCUCUAAAAUUAGAGGUUCUUUGAGUAUUGCAAUCUAUAUAGAGAUGUAUAAAUUUCUAACCAUCGAUAUAAAGACUCCUCACAAAGGUCGAAGUAAUGCAAGUACUGGUAAGAACAGCUAAUGUAUUUAACUUCUGGUUCUCACAGCAUCGAUCUUUGUAGAGAACAAUCACAUCUGUUUACGAAGGACUUAAGUGUGAAUCAAGGAUGCUGCAUACCGAAUUUUCUGAAUUGUUCACUAGUACUGAAUUGAUGUGGUUUUGUAUGUCUUUCUUCUGACUAUUGGAUGGACUGAUCAUUCGUCAGCCAACAUUUCUCUUUUUGAAGUCAAUAGUCAUCUAAGGUCAGUUAUAUUACGUUGCAGUGUGGAGUAUGAAAGUCGUUGUGUGAGAAGAAAAGAUCUGUUGGAGACAUUAGCUAAUGAACUGCCUCAAGGUGUGAUUAGAUAUUCUUCCAAAGUCGAUUCCAUUGAAGAAUCUGGACCAUUGAAAUUGGUACAUCUUGCAGAUGGUUCCACUAUUAGAACCAAGGUAAAUCUUUCUCUGAAAUUCUUAACUUGGAAUCCCUAUUAUUGGAAACUUCAACCAACGUGAUAAUUCAAACGUGUAUUUGACCAUUUAUCUCAAUUCCUUUCGUUAGUCUAGCUAGUACGUGACUAACUUUGUUAAGCUUCAAUUAAGGCCUUAAUUGGGUGUGACGGAGUCAAUUCUGUGGUGGCAAACUGGCUUGGGCUUCAGAAACCUGUCUAUUCUGGGCGCUCUGCAAUUAGAGGCUUUGUUGAGUAUCCGGAAAAACAUGGUUAUCAGCCUAAGUUCCACGCGUAUUUUGGAGGUGGAGUUCGGUUUGGAUUUCUUCCUAGUGAUGAGAAGAGUUUGUACUGGUUUUGCACAUUCACACCAUCUGUUGUUCAUUGUAAGCCAGCACCUACAUACUGUUUCUUUUGAAGAUUUACUUUUCGAAGGAUAUUUUUGUUGGCUAGAGAGCUUACCUCUCUGAAAGGGGAGCCUUGACGUAAUUGGUAAAGUUAUUGUCACGUGACCUAGAGGUUGCGGAUUUGAGCUGUGGAAACAGCCUCUUGCAGAAAUGCAGGGUAAGACUGCGUAUAAUAGACCCCUGUGGUCCAGACCUUCCCCGAACCCUGUACAUAGUGGGAGCUUAGUGCACCGAGCAGCCCAGAUAGCUUACAUUUCAUAAACUAGUCAUGUUUAGUUGUUCAUUUUAAUUGGGAUUUUAUGCAGUUGAUGGAAAUGCAGAACAAGAUCCAAUGAAAUUGAAGCAAUUCGUGUUGAACAAGGCUAGUAAUGUGUCUAAAGAACUCUCCACCGUUAUAGAGAGAACAACGCUCGACUGUAUAUCUGUCGCUCAGCUGAAAUUGAGAUUGCCAUGGAAUGUUCUGUUUGGGAAUAUUUUGAAAAAUAAUGUUUGCGUGGUAGGUGAUGCACUUCAUCCCAUGACUCCUGAUCUUGGUCAAGGUGGAUGUUCGGCUGUAGAGGACAGUGUUGUUAUCGCAAAGUGCCUUGGAGAAGCCUUGAUAAAACCGAUAACAGAACAAGAAGACGAUGAAUCUAUGAAUAUUAGGAAAGGACUCGAGAAGUAUGCUAAAGAGAGAAGAUGGAGAAGUUUUACAUUUAUCAGUGCUGCUUAUUUAUCUGGUUUCAUACAAGAGAGUGAUAACAAGAUAAUCAGUUUCUUAAGACAACAUUUUUUGGCUGGAGUCACUAUAUCAGUUACACUAAGAAUAGCUAACUUUGACUGCGGAAGACUAGCUGUUUCGUAGUAGCUCAGUUGGUUGGCUAUCUAAACUUUUACGUUAUUGGUGAGUGUUCGAUUCUCCACCUUGUAAUCACCUCUCCCUACUCCCCAUUUGCCUUUUUUUAUUUCUUUUUCAAAAAGCACAUCCCUUGAACCUCUAUGGUAGUAAUAAACAUGCAUGUCAAUUGCUUGAUUCACUCUCCACGCUUUUGAUGUUGUGAUCCCAUUCUUCUGAUUGAAAUAAUGUAAAAUGAACAAGAACUUAAAAUUGCCUAAUUAAGUAAGAGUUGAUUUUAGUUAGGCAGCACAACCCAAAUUAAUUUUACAUUUUGACAACUAAUUAAUCUCUACCAUGUG